UUAGCGCAGUAGGUAGCGCGUCAGUCUCAUAAUCUGAAGGUCGUGAGUUCGAUCCUCACACGGGGCACAAUACUUUUGGCCGUUCCGAGUCUUAAUUUCUUGCCAGAAGCAAAUUUUACUCAGUCGAGGAGCGCUCGCAACGCGGAGAUUGUCUUGCGUUGGCUAGGCGUGGAAUGGCUGCCGUGUCGUGACCUGGACCUUGUAAACUGGUCAUCAUUGGGGUCGCGGACCAUCCCGGAGACGGAGGCGAAACUUUUCUGCUGGGUUCAGGGAGCGGUGAGGGUGAAAUGCCUAUGUCACCAAAAGACGAGGGGGCCCACAGCUACUCCGAGCCCGGGCUGCGAGUCUCCUGCGAAGAUUUCGCACGCUCUUGAGAAGAUCGUGUUCUGUGGAGUUCCAUUCUAUUGGUUUAUUUCUUGAAAAAACUGGAAAAUAAAAUUUAUAGUUAUUAGUGGC
Long non-coding RNA from Mastomys coucha (southern multimammate mouse), 456 nucleotides. RefSeq lists it as uncharacterized. Lineage: Eukaryota; Metazoa; Chordata; Mammalia; Rodentia; Muridae. The transcript has 2 exons. The record is from RefSeq and is a predicted model, not a curated record.